This 949-nucleotide non-coding RNA is filed under the name Glis glis (Fat dormouse). RNAcentral's name for it is "12S ribosomal RNA". It matches the Rfam family "Bacterial small subunit ribosomal RNA". Lineage: Eukaryota; Metazoa; Chordata; Mammalia; Rodentia; Gliridae. The record is from RNAcentral.
CAAAGGUUUGGUCCCAGCCUUCUUAUUAGUUUAUAGCAAGAUUACACAUGCAAGCAUCUACGACCCUGUGAGAAUGCCCUCUACGUCAAACAGACUUAAAGGAGCAGGUAUCAAGCACACAUCACCGUAGCUCAAAACACCUUGCUAAACCACACCCCCACGGGUUACAGCAGUGAUUAAAAUUAAAAUAUAAACGAAAGUUUGACUAAGCUAUGCUAUAAUCUAGGGUUGGUAAAUUUCGUGCCAGCCACCGCGGUCAUACGAUUAACCCAAAUUAAUAAGUUUCGGCGUAAAGGGUGUUUAGAUUAUUCCUACAAUAAGGUUAAAUUCUGUCUAAGCUGUAAAAAGCCUUUGCCAGAGAAAAAAUAACAUACGAAAGUCACCUUACUAAAAUCUGAAUACACGAUAGCUAAGACCCAAACUGGGAUUAGAUACCCCACUAUGCUUAGCCCUAAACAUAAACCCUUACUAACGCAACCGUUCGCCAGAGUACUACAAGCCACAGCUCAAAACUCAAAGGACUUGGCGGUGCUUUAUAUCCCUCUAGAGGAGCCUGUUCUAUAAUCGAUAAACCCCGAUAAACCUCACCACUUCUUGCUACCACAGCUUAUAUACCGCCAUCUUCAGCAAACCUUAACAAGGAAUCAAAGUAAGCCCAAGUAUUAACAUAAAAACGUUAGGUCAAGGUGUAGCCUAUGAAGUGGAAAGAAAUGGGCUACAUUUCCUUUCCCAAGUACAUUCACGUCAACUUUUAUGAAACCUAAAAGUAAAAGGCGGAUUUAGUAGUAAGCUAAGAAUAGAGAGCCUAGCUGAAUAGGGCCAUGAAGCACGCACACACCGCCCGUCACCCUCCUCAAGCAUGAAUAUAAUUUAUCUAUAAUUAAAUCUCUGCACUUUGCAAGAGGAGAUAAGUCGUAACAUGGUAAGCAUACUGGAAAGUGUGCUUGGA